GGAUAUUGCCAGAGAGAUUGGGAGACAGCAGCUUCAGUGGCUGGAGAAGUUGGACCAGGUCAUUGUUGCUGAUGAUGGGCAGGUACUGGACAGUUCUGGCAAGGCUGUGCGGUGCUUCCAACAUGGGCACAAGAUAAUGGGAGCACUUUACACCUGGGAGGAGCAGCCGAGGUGCUGAGGUCAAAGGGCUGGAACAGGGUAACCAGAUGUCCUAACUGCAAAGGAGGACAAGGCUCCUCAAGAAAAUGUUGGUCAUGACAAAAUAUAUGAUAAAAACAUUCAGAGAAAUAUAAAUCCAUGCUUCUUAGUCAUGUUGAAAAUGGAGGGUGGUUUGGAAUUUUUACUGGACAUGUCCUGGAAAAGGAGGACCUCUGGGCAGGAGCUGACCCAGCAUAUCUUCACCGAUGGGCACUUCUGCCUUGGGUAAGCAAGAGAGAGUGAUGUCCGAAGGACAGGGUGACCAGAUAAUACUACUAAUUUACUACUAAGGGUGGCUUAGUGGUUAAGACACCAAUUCUGAUGAUUGGAAGGUCGGCAGCUCAAGGCCCAAGUACCGCAUGAUGGGGUGAGUUCCUGUCACUAGUCCCAUCUUCUGCCAACCUAGCAGUUCAAAAGCAUGCAAAUGCAAGUAGAUAAAUAGGUAUCACUUCAGUAGGAAGGUAACAGUACUCAGUGCAGUCAUGCUGGCCAUAUGACUAGUGGAGUCACCUUCGGACAUCACUGGCUCUUCUACUUAGUAACAGAGAUGAGCACAACCUCCUACAGUCAGUUACAACUAGACAUUAGUGUCAAGGGAAAACCUUUACCUUUACACCACUACUCCUACUACUACUAAUAUUUAUUUCUUACCUGUCUCUCCCCAUAGAUCAAGACGAUGUCAUAAUCACAAAGGAGUGCAAGGCACCAUAAAAUGACUGUGUAACUUCUCCACUGUAUUCCACCAGAAUGUAAAAAUAUUGUUAUGGUCACAAGACUUCUGUGAGUAGUGAGAAGUCCUAGGAGCAGCAUUUACCAGGAUUUGUUUUCCCCUGGAAGAGUGGCUGUAUCUCUAUUGCAGAGCAUGACUGAGUGCGUUCACAUCUGUAACGCUGGUGCAGGCUAAACAUACCCAGCUCCCUAAGUCGCUCCUCAUAUGGCAUGGUUUCCAGACCCUUCAUCAUUUUGGUCACCAUUCUCUGGAAACACUCCAUCUUCUCAAACAUCCUUUUUGAAUUAUGGUAUCCAGAACUGAACACAGCAUUCCAGGUGAGGUCUGACCAAAGCAGAAUAAGAGCGAUUCUAUUACUUCCCUUGAUCUAUACUUGUACUGAUGCAGACUAGAAUCACAUUGGCUUUUUUAAAUGCUGCAUCACACUGUUGACUCAUGUUCAACUUGUGGUCUACUACGACUCCUAGAUCCCUUUCAAUGUAAUCUAGUUAAGCCAGAUGUCCACCAUUCUAUAGGAAUACAUUUCAUUUUUUCUGCCUAUGUGCAAUACCGUACAUUUCUCCCUGUUGAAAUUCUUUUUUUUAUUUUUGGUACAGGUUUCUAAUCUAUUAAGGUCAUUUUGUAUUUUGAUCCUGU
This is a long non-coding RNA of Sceloporus undulatus (fence lizard), 1564 nucleotides long. RefSeq lists it as uncharacterized. The record is from RefSeq and is a predicted model, not a curated record. The transcript has 4 exons. NCBI's taxonomy places the organism in Eukaryota, Metazoa, Chordata, Lepidosauria, Squamata, Phrynosomatidae.